GAGUUUGAUCCUGGCUCAGGAUGAACGCUAGCUACAGGCUUAACACAUGCAAGUCGCGGGGCAUCGCGGUGAGUAGCAAUACUUUCUGGCGGCGACCGGCGGAUGGGUGAGUAACGCGUAUCCAACCUGGCCCUAUCUCGGGGACAGCCCCUCGAAAGAGGGAUUAAUACCCGAUGUUCCCUGGUUUCCGCAUGUUUACCAGGGCAAAGGCUUUUGUCGGAUAGGGAUGGGGAUGCGUUCCAUUAGGCAGUCGGCGGGGUAACGGCCCACCGAGCCUACGAUGGAUAGGGGUUCUGAGAGGAAGGCCCCCCACACUGGGACUGAGACACGGCCCAGACUCCUACGGGAGGCAGCAGUGAGGAAUAUUGGUCAAUGGCGGCAACGCUGAACCAGCCAAGUAGCGUGAGGGAUUACUGCCCUAUGGGUUUUAAACCUCUUUUGUUGGGGAGCAACCGGUGCCACUUGUGGCACCCUGCGAGUACCCUUCGAAUAAGCAUCGGCUAACUCCGUGCCAGCAGCCGCGGUAAUACGGAGGAUGCGAGCGUUAUCCGGAUUUAUUGGGUUUAAAGGGAGCGCGGACCGGAGAUUAAGUCAGCUGUUAAAUGGCGGCGCCCAACGUCGUCCUGCGGUUGAUACUGGUUUCCUUGAGUGCGGUAUGGGCAUGCGGAAUUCACGGUGUAGCGGUGAAAUGCUUAGAUAUCGUGAAGAACUCCGAUCGCGAAGGCAGCGUGCCGGACCGUUACUGACGUUUAGGCUCGAAAGUGCGGGUAUCAAACAGGAUUAGAUACCCUGGUAGUCCGCACAGUAAACGAUGGACACUCGCUGUCGGCGACAGACUGUCGGCGGCCAAGCGAAAGCGUUAAGUGUCCCACCUGGGGAGUACGCCGGCAACGGUGAAACUCAAAGGAAUUGACGGGGGCCGCACAAGCGGAGGAACAUGUGGUUUAAUUCGAUGAUACGCGAGGAACCUUACCCGGGCUUGGACUGCGCAGGUAUGUUGGGAGACCCAUCAGUCAGCAAUGACCUGCGUGGAGGUGCUGCAUGGGUGUCGUCAGCUCGUGCC
Molecule: ribosomal RNA, 1063 nt
Filed under: unidentified rumen bacterium JW16
Lineage: Bacteria
Description: bacterial SSU rRNA
Rfam family: Bacterial small subunit ribosomal RNA
Source: RNAcentral